Long non-coding RNA from Acipenser ruthenus (sterlet), 1909 nucleotides. RefSeq lists it as uncharacterized. The record is from RefSeq and is a predicted model, not a curated record. The transcript has 4 exons. Lineage: Eukaryota; Metazoa; Chordata; Actinopteri; Acipenseriformes; Acipenseridae.
AUGGGGUGCCCAAGCUGUGUUUAAGAAUCCUGUAAUCUAGAUGGUGGAGUGGGAUGCGGCACAUAUUUCACAUUGACUGUACUUUUUUUAAUUGUAUAUUUUGUUUAAUCUUGUUUAGGGUCCUGUGUUGGUUAUGGUGGUAGUGUUAAUUACUGGCUAUUAAGAGAGCAUGCGCUCACUAUAUAUAUUAAAGUUGUUUUUGUUACUUUGGUUUCAUGUGGGAGUAGAGGGGAAUUUGCCAUCCUGUCACUGUAGCGUAAUAGCUGCCUGUAAUUAAUUGUGUAUCAUUUUGGACUUCUUCCCAGUGUCAUACAUGAAUUAUGGGCCUUACAGUUCUUACGCCCCAGUCUUGUUGCAAACGUCAGCAAAGCAGACUUAGACCUCAUAUAUUCCUUCUAUGGAGAGGAAUCAAGCUUGGAGGGCCCAGCCAGUGUCCAUCAUUUUUUGGCAAAUGCAGAUGAUUAUACUUACAAGAUGGCAGACAACAUACUGGAUGCACUGACCAAUGGAGAACAUUCCAAGAGCCUGAGAGAAAUGGGAAUGCUAAAAAGCAGAAUAAAAAAAAAAAAAGCUUCAAUGUCUUUUUUUUUUUGUAAAUAACAAUACUGUAGUGCCAGUCAGAUUUAAACACGUUUAUUUAAAGCCCUAUGACCGGUACGACUCAAAUCGGAGAGUAAAACACAUGUUUGUUUUUAUAUAAAGUAAGGCAUGGUAUUGAAUCUCAAGGACAAUUCUGUUUUCUAGUUUUUUCCUUUUAUCAGCAACAAAGGAGUUUGAUUCUUUAUGGGAUUUAAUUGGACUAGAUAAAUAUUGGUUUGAGAAGAGUCAAUAUCCUUUCAGACAAUGCAAGGAAGUGAGGAGUGCACAGACAGGCCUGAUGAUGUCGAGGUGAAUCUUCUUUCUUGGUCCGUGUACGGAAAUAAUUAGUGAACCAGAGCCUUGAUGAACUUCAUGGCUGCAGCUGUACAAACAAGUGUGUGUGUCCUGUCUGUUUGGCAGUCUAACGCUGUUUGACUUUGCUACAUUUAUCUUGCAGGAAAAAAAAAAAUAACACAGAUCUCAUCUACCCGCCAACAUUAUUAUUGAACAUGUUUGUGAUGCGUGGAGCGAAGCCAUGUGCCGUGCUCCGCAGCAGUGUUUUGGUGCUGAAUAGGGAGAACCCCUGAUUUGACACCGCGCUGUGCCUAAACGUUUGCCAUCAUGGUCUCAUUAGAUCGUUGAAGCACAUGCCAGCAGCAAGGACGGAUUUACCUCCAUGGGUGCUGUUGCAGGUCUGGAAAUGGAGACGGCAUCCUUCGACUCCAAAGCUGAGAAGGUGACUGGAAAUCUGAAGCACCUGGCCAGCCAAGUGACUUCCGGUGACAUCACCAGUGUGUACGGGACCAGGGAGGUCAUGGGCGUUGCUGUGCUUGCACGCCUGCAUGUCUGCUGGAGCAGAGCCUGGUAGACCUGACUGCAGGGGAGUGUGCAGCACGCUGCAGUUAGGUUGUGAAGAUGCUUCAGACUCCAGCAGGAGCCUGACUGCCAACCAAGAAGACGUCCCACCUGUAGCAGUGUAAGCCAGUUCCUUGUUUACUGAAAAGCUUUUUUCAAAUUCUGUCUGCAAGUUGUGUUCAAUAAUAAAAAAAAAAAACACUAAACAGAGCAUGUUUUUGUACUGUACAGAAUGUAUUUGCUCAAUAUUUGUACAUGGUUUUAAACAAUAAACCUUUUUUUAUAAUACCAAUUGUGAAUCAUUGACAUGGACUGAUUAACUAACAUUGCACCCACACCAAUGUGGUGCGGAAAUCUUUUGUUAAAGGUAUACCUUUUUAUAGUCCGUUUACAAGCUUGCUCUAGGCCAUCUGGAAUUAAUUAGGGGUGUAAUGACUCGUUAUGUAAUCUAUGAAAUAGAGACUUUCUUUACAUG